This 483-nucleotide ribosomal RNA is filed under the name uncultured bacterium. Its description in RNAcentral is "bacterial SSU rRNA". It matches the Rfam family "Bacterial small subunit ribosomal RNA", at positions 32 to 507 of the family's 1533-position model. The record is from RNAcentral.
AACGCUGGCGGCAUGCCUUACACAUGCAAGUCGAACGGCAGCACGGGAGCUUGCUCCUGGUGGCGAGGUGGCGAACGGGUGAGUAAUACAUCGGAACGUACCCUGAAGUGGGGGAGUAACGUAGCGAAAGUUACGCUAAUACCGCAUAUUCUGUGAGCAGGAAAGAGGGGGAUCGCAAGACCUCUUGCUUUAGGAGCGGCCGAUGUCGGAUUAGCUAGUUGGUGAAGUAAAGGCUCACCAAGGCGACGAUCCGUAGCGGGUCUGAGAGGAUGAUCCGCCACACUGGGACUGAGACACGGCCCAGACUCCUACGGGAGGCAGCAGUGGGGAAUUUUGGACAAUGGGCGCAAGCCUGAUCCAGCCAUGCCGCGUGAGUGAAGAAGGCUUCGGGUUGUAAAGCUCUUUCGGUGGGGAAGAAAUUGCUUCGGUUAAUACCUGGAGUAGAUGACGGUACCCGCAUAAGAAGCACCGGCUAACUACGUG